GCAUCGAUGAAGAACGCAGCGAAAUGCGAUACUUGGUGUGAAUUGCAGAAUCCCGUGAACCAUCGAGUUUUUGAACGCAAGUUGCGCCCGAAGCCACUAGGCCGAGGGCACGCCUGCCUGGGCGUCACGC
RNAcentral lists this ribosomal RNA (130 nucleotides) under Geranium bohemicum. RNAcentral's name for it is "partial 5.8S ribosomal RNA". It matches the Rfam family "5.8S ribosomal RNA", at positions 30 to 154 of the family's 154-position model. Rfam says of the family: 5.8S ribosomal RNA (5.8S rRNA) is a component of the large subunit of the eukaryotic ribosome. Lineage: Eukaryota; Viridiplantae; Streptophyta; Magnoliopsida; Geraniales; Geraniaceae. The record is from RNAcentral.